GUCGACGAUUCACGUGUAGCAGUGAAAUGCAUAGAUAUUACUCAGAAUACCGAUUGCGAAGGCAGAUCACUAACAAUGAACUGACGCUGAUGGACGAAAGCGUAGGUAGCGAACAGGAUUAGAUACCCUGGUAGUCCACGCCGUAAACGAUGAGUGCUAGGUGUCGGGGGUCAAACCUCGGUGCCGGAGCUAACGCAAUAAGCACUCCGCCUGGGGAGUACGCUCGCAAGAGUAAAACUCAAAGGAAUUGACGGGGACCCGCACAAGUAGCGGAGCAUGUGGUUUAAUUCGAAGCAACGCGAAGAACCUUACCUAAACUUGACAUCCUUGUGAUCGGUCCUUAAUCGGACCUUCCCUUCGGGGCACAAGUGACAGGUGGUGCAUGGCUGUCGUCAGCU
This 398-nucleotide ribosomal RNA is filed under the name uncultured Bacillota bacterium. RNAcentral's name for it is "uncultured Firmicutes bacterium partial 16S ribosomal RNA". It matches the Rfam family "Bacterial small subunit ribosomal RNA", at positions 660 to 1060 of the family's 1533-position model. Lineage: Bacteria; Bacillati; Bacillota. The record is from RNAcentral.